RNAcentral lists this long non-coding RNA (1607 nucleotides) under Bos indicus x Bos taurus (hybrid cattle). RNAcentral describes it as "lncRNA (ENSBIXG00005008237.1)". The record is from RNAcentral. Lineage: Eukaryota; Metazoa; Chordata; Mammalia; Artiodactyla; Bovidae.
ACAGUGGUUGGCUUAGGGCCCCUCCACUCCAGGAUGGCCUUUCAUCUGAACCCAGGGACCUCUGCAGAGACGCUAUUUUCUAAGAACGGUUCCACUCUCAGGUUUUGGGUGGCCCUGAAUCCGGCAGACCCCGGUCAGUCCAGUGGAAGUGUCAGGACCCAGCAAAGCUGAGAAGAGCGUCGCCCAAACACUAGGCUUCAAGGCUGCUGAAGAAACCACGAGAAGGUCAGAAGAUGGAGAUGAUCACAAGCCUACCCCCUUCCCCAGCUGUGACUCCUGUUUGUCCCCAAAGUUCACCGUCACACCUAUUUCACAAAACCCCAGCAGUGCUGAGAGGGGCCCUGAAACACCUCUCUUAGCUCUCCCACGUUGCGCCUCUGAGGACUGCCCUGAGCCGGCUGCCCACUGCCCCUCUCAGGGAUGUGUCCUUCACCAGCGUGGUCAGUGGUCAACAGUGUGGGACAGCCGCUCCCUGGGAUGGGUGCUCCCCUACAGGAUGGCCCAGGUCCAAGGGUCUGCUCCAGGACACCCUCACUCCCCCUCAGGGAUUGGGGUGGCCCCUGCAUGGCCUGGGCCUGCCUGCCCAGAACCCACAACUCUGGUAUAGGGUGGGGGCGGGGGAGCGGGCUGGCCUCUCCUAGCUAGGAACCCUGCUAGCCCUCAUCUGAGUUCCUUGAGGCCCCCUCCAUCCCUGCCAGCUUUUGCUGACACUCAGGGCGGCCUCUCUUGUCCUGGCUGCCUUGGCCUUCUCGCAGUUCUGGAACAUUUCACGUCCACCACUCACAGUCUCCGGACCACUGGACAAGGGACUUGGUUUCUGGGCCGCAGCUCUUCAUCGUGAAGGAGGACUGGGAGGUGUCACUUCCAAGGCUGUUGGGGAGUCAGGGGAGAUGACCUGGGAGGGUACCUGCCUGGCAUAGAACCUGUGUACACGUGAGGGAUGGCCAUUGCUCUGUGCUUGUUGAUUUCACUCGUGGGUCUGGUAUGAGGAUGGUGGUGUAUGUGAUGGGAUGGCUCUGUGGUCACCUCCCCUUGGCCAGCCCAAGAGGACGGCAUUUUUGUUCUCAGAGUCAGAUCACGAGCACCUUCCUGACGGCCAGGAUGGCUAUAUAAUUUGCAGUGUGUGGUACAAAAUGAAAAUGUGGGCCUCCCUCUAGAAUCAAGAAUUUCAAGAUGGUAACCACAGAGCAUUGAACCACUAGGGGAGGGCCCUUCUGAAAGACUGCGCAGGGCACGUGUCCAUGAGGUUGGCCCUGCUGGGGUGGGGGUGGGGGCAGGUUUCAGGGCCUUUGAUGGAGAGGGGGAGGUGGCAGAGGGACAGCCCAGAGAGGCCAGCCUCGGGGUUUCAUGUCCCCUCAUUUGUACUGGGCAAAAGUCACUCUGUUUCCUUUCUGGCCUAUUUUAGGCUUGACUUAGCAUGAAAAUUUUAUCGGAAAGUCAUUUUUCUCCAUCAAAGUCCAGAGGCUGAGAACCCUGCUGCAGGUGGGGGCUUAGGAGUGGCCAGGCAUCCCUGGAGGGAAGGGGAGGCUGGGGGCUGGGCUGGGUGGCUCCAUCCUCUGCCUGGCUCUCCUGGGAUGGGACCUACCUGGCUCUGAGACCUGAAGGGU